AGGGACUUAGGUUAACCAAACCAUGGGCCUUCAAAGCCCCAAAUAAGAGCUCACCCCUCUUAGCCCCUG
RNAcentral lists this transfer RNA (69 nucleotides) under Lissolepis coventryi. RNAcentral describes it as "tRNA-Trp". Lineage: Eukaryota; Metazoa; Chordata; Lepidosauria; Squamata; Scincidae. The record is from RNAcentral.